UUCUAGUAUUUGCUGAAUUGCGUUAUGGAUUCCGUUACCACGGACAAUAACGCAAUUCUAUAACAGAAUGCAUAACGGAAUGCCUUUAGAGGCAUUCCGUUAUUUAUUCCGUCAUAGUAGAAGUCUAUGGUCUGCAAAACGUAUCUGCCCCAUUUCCGUUAUGCAGGAG
Bufo bufo (common toad) is the source of this 169-nucleotide long non-coding RNA. RefSeq lists it as uncharacterized. Lineage: Eukaryota; Metazoa; Chordata; Amphibia; Anura; Bufonidae. The record is from RefSeq and is a predicted model, not a curated record. The transcript has 3 exons.